RNAcentral lists this ribosomal RNA (467 nucleotides) under uncultured bacterium. RNAcentral's name for it is "partial 16S ribosomal RNA". It matches the Rfam family "Bacterial small subunit ribosomal RNA", at positions 29 to 507 of the family's 1533-position model. The record is from RNAcentral.
ACGCACGCUGGCGGCGUGCUUAACACAUGCAAGUCGAACGGAAAGGCCCUGCUUUUGUGGGGUGCUCGAGUGGCGAACGGGUGAGUAACACGUGAGUAACCUGCCCUUGACUUUGGGAUAACUUCAGGAAACUGGGGCUAAUACCGGAUAGGAGCUCCUGCUGCAUGGUGGGGGUUGGAAAGUUUCGGCGGUUGGGGAUGGACUCGCGGCUUAUCAGCUUGUUGGUGGGGUAGUGGCUUACCAAGGCUUUGACGGGUAGCCGGCCUGAGAGGGUGACCGGCCACAUUGGGACUGAGAUACGGCCCAGACUCCUACGGGAGGCAGCAGUGGGGAAUAUUGUACAAUGGGCGGAAGCCUGAUGCAGCAACGCCGCGUGCGGGAUGACGGCCUUCGGGUUGUAAACCGCUUUCGCCUGUGACGAAGCGUGAGUGACGGUAAUGGGUAAAGAAGCACCGGCUAACUACGUG